RNAcentral lists this small RNA (910 nucleotides) under uncultured Mortierella. RNAcentral's name for it is "eukaryotic LSU rRNA". The stretch from base 626 to 910 matches the Rfam family "Eukaryotic large subunit ribosomal RNA", at positions 1 to 281 of the family's 3401-position model. The record is from RNAcentral. Lineage: Eukaryota; Fungi; Mortierellomycota; Mortierellomycetes; Mortierellales; Mortierellaceae.
CUUGGUCAUUUAGAGGAAGUAAAAGUCGUAACAAGGUUUCCGUAGGUGAACCUGCGGAAGGAUCAUUCACAAACGAGUGUUUUAUGGCACUCUUUAAAAAUCCAUAUCCACCUUGUGUGCAAUGUUUGUUGGGAAAGUCUUUUCUUUCCCUUCAUAAAUAUCAACCUAUAUCUUUAACGACAUUCGUCUGAUAACAUAUUAUGAAUAUACUUAAUUCAAAAUAUAACUUUCAACAACGGAUCUCUUGGCUCUCGCAUCGAUGAAGAACGCAGCGAAAUGCGAUACGUAAUGUGAAUUGCAGAAUUCAGUGAAUCAUCGAAUCUUUGAACGCAUAUUGCGCUCUUUGGUAUUCCGAAGAGCAUGCUUGUUUGAGUAUCAGUAAACACCUCAACCUCUCUUUUUUGAUAAAAAAAAGGGAGGGUGGACUUGAGCUAUCCCAACGACCUUCACCGGUAGGCGGGCGGCUUGAAAUGCAGGUGCAGCUGGACUUUUAUCUGAGCUAAAAGCAUAUCUAUUUAGUCCUCGUCAAACAGGAUUAUUACUUUUGCUGCAGCUAACAUAAAGGAUAAUUGUCCUCUUUGCUGACUGAUGCAGGAUUUUACGACACUUUAUGUGUUGUUCAACUCGAUCUCAAAUCAAGUAAGACUACCCGCUGAACUUAAGCAUAUCAAUAAGCGGAGGAAAAGAAACUAACAAGGAUUCCCCUAGUAACGGCGAGUGAAGUGAGAUGAGCUCAAAUUUGAAAUCUGGCUGGUUUACUAGUCCGAGUUGUAAUUUAAAGAAGCGUUUUCGGUGGCAGCCUGGGUAUAAAUCCUUUGGAAUAGGGUAUCAUAGAGGGUGAGAAUCCCGUCUUUGACCUAGUGCAUGCUACUAUGUGAUACGUUUUCAAAGAGUCGAGUUGUUUGGGAAU